This 253-nucleotide ribosomal RNA is filed under the name uncultured bacterium. RNAcentral's name for it is "partial 16S ribosomal RNA". It matches the Rfam family "Bacterial small subunit ribosomal RNA", at positions 524 to 776 of the family's 1533-position model. The record is from RNAcentral.
UACGGGGGGGGCAAGCGUUGUUCGGAAUUACUGGGCGUAAAGGGCUCGUAGGUGGCCAACUAAGUCAGACGUGAAAUCCCUCGGCUUAACCGGGGAACUGCGUCUGAUACUGGAUGGCUUGAGUUUGGGAGAGGGACGCGGAAUUCCAGGUGUAGCGGUGAAAUGCGUAGAUAUCGAGAGGAACACCUGCGGCGAAGGCGGGUUGCUGGGCUGACACUGACGCUGAGGCGCGAAAGCCAGGGGAGCGAACGGG